CCGAAAUCUGCGCCGGAACUAUGACGCAUCCAACAUUUUGUCACAGCCAUGCUCUCCGCCACGGGCCGUGAACCCCUGAACGGUGGGUGUCAGCAGUAGCUAGUGGCAUCAGCUACUGCUGUAAACCCGUAGUUCAGGAGGUUGGGGUCCGUGGCGGUGAGCAUGGCUGUGACAAAAUGUUGGAUGCAUGUUGGUUCCGGCGCAGAUUUCGG
RNAcentral lists this microRNA precursor (212 nucleotides) under Ectocarpus siliculosus. RNAcentral describes it as "MIR8622 microRNA precursor family". It matches the Rfam family "MIR8622 microRNA precursor family". Lineage: Eukaryota; Phaeophyceae; Ectocarpales; Ectocarpaceae. The record is from Rfam by way of RNAcentral.